RNAcentral lists this ribosomal RNA (119 nucleotides) under Aegilops tauschii subsp. strangulata. The record is from RNAcentral. Lineage: Eukaryota; Viridiplantae; Streptophyta; Magnoliopsida; Poales; Poaceae.
GGAUGCGAUCAUACCAUCACUAAAGCACCGAAUCCCAUCAGAACUCCGAAGUUAAGCGUGCUUGGGCGAGAGUAGUACUAGGAUGGGUGACCUCUUGGGAAGUCCUCGUGUUGCAUUCC